Long non-coding RNA from Lathyrus oleraceus (garden pea), 2898 nucleotides. RefSeq lists it as uncharacterized. The record is from RefSeq and is a predicted model, not a curated record. Lineage: Eukaryota; Viridiplantae; Streptophyta; Magnoliopsida; Fabales; Fabaceae. The transcript is spliced from 4 exons.
UGAGGUGAGAAGCCAGUGAAAGAGUAACAAAAGGUGUACAAAAUGCAGGAGCUAGCUACUGCAGUCGGUGCUCUUAUAAGCAUCAUCUAUGUGAAAAGAGUGAGGAAGGAACAAAACUUUCAUUUUUGUGUAUAGUGAUUGUGAUAGCAAUGAAUCGCAUCUUACGUGAUAUUGUUGCUUGGUUGUCUGAGAAGUCCCACACCGGUUACGUUUGCAAGUUAUUUAUUGUUUAUAUAAUACACACAUACCAUCUGUUAAUGUCCCUUCGGGGACAUCCGAUAAAAUUGGAACGAUACAGAGAAGAUUAGCAUGGCCCCUGCGCAAGGAUGACACGCACAAAUCGAGAAAUGGUCAAAUUUUUUUUGACUUUUUUUUCCUUCGUCUUCAUCUGCUUCGUUUUCUCGUUUUACCUUGUCCCUUUCAUUUGCUGCAGGUUUUGGGGUGAGAACUUUAUUCCAGUCUAGCUUCCUAACAUUGAAUAUGCAUCAAUGGCCAUUAAUGACAUGAAUCCACAAUUAAAGGAGAAGCUUGUUGGAUAGGCUUGUCACGAUCUGAAUGAAUUGGCUUCCCGAGCAAUACACAUCGAUAGUAAAGGGAGAAUAAACAUGUUGGCCGAGGAAGAGGCCAUCAUUGGUAUGGAGGAAUCAUAAAAUGAUAUAGCAGUCGGUCCUACGACAAAUUUAUUAGCAAUUGAAAUUCUAAAUACGAAAAGCUACUCAUGUCCUCCCUUGAACCCAACUAAAGGAAAGGGCACCAUUUCAUAAGAAGACAUAAUAGAAUAUAUUGUUUACCUUCUUCCUUUCAUUUGAUUCUUUUUGAUGCAGAUUUUAAUUGGCCCACUGUCGCUACUUCUAGAGAGUCUGUGACUGGCUAUUGUGCCUUUCUUGGAUCAUCUCUAAUCUCCUAGAAAUCAUCGAAGCAAUCUACACUUUCUAAAUAAAGUUAAGAAGCUCAACACAGGAAUGCUAAUGGCAGAAUAGCACGCGUUAUGAAUGAACCAAAGAGCAAUACGUAGAGUGAGGAUAGAUAAUUUUUAAUUGAUUGAAUGCUGUGAUUUUUCAUUCUGCACCAAGGCAAUAUAAAGUGGAAUUUGUUACAAAUUCUCCACAAAAAGUGUGAUAUUACAAUUUCUAGAGGAAGGGCCCACUUAAUUGAAAGAAAAUUACAAAACCUAAGGUGUAAAACUAUAGGGUAAAUAUUAUCUAUAACAAUACCCGCCCCAUAAGGAACACCCUUGUCCUAAAGGGUGGAAGUUAGGAAAUUCUUUUAGAAGAUCAUAAUAAAAUUCCCAAGUAGCACGGUCUGGAGGGCUGUUUUUCCACUGAACCAGCACCUUUGUAGCAGCCACCCUGCCCCUCUUGACCAUUUUUCUAUCCAGAAUUUUUUCAGGUUCCAGUUGUCCAUGAGAAGGAACAUCAGUAGUAGCAAUGGCAUGUGCAGGAGCAGUAUUUGGAUUAGGAUAGAGCUUUAAUUGGGAAACAUGGAAGACAUUGUGAAUUCCACUUGCAGCAGGGAGCUCUAAUUUAUAUGCAGCAGAGCCUAUUUUGUCCAAACCUUAUAAGGGCCAUAGAAUUUAUGAAGAAGCUUGUGAAAUGCAGUGCCUCUGACAGUUAUUUGUCGAUAGGGAUGUAGCUUCAGAUAGAUAUAAUCACCUAUAGCAAAUACUCUCUCACUCCUCCUCUUGUUAGCUUGUUGAGACAUAUGAUUUUGAGGUCUUAGGAUAUGAAAACGAAGGACCUUAAUAACCUCAUUCUGAUAUUCUUAAUCUAUGUAUUAACAUAUUUCUCUAACUAACUCUAAGCAGGCCAUUGUAGAAGAUAUUUUUUCUUUAGUUUCCCUUGAAAUGGGAAGUCUAGUCAUUAGUGGAUUCAGGGGCCUCUUCAUUGAGUAUACCAUCAUACUUGAAAUAGCCCUUACUUAAGUUAUGAAACAAGUGCAAUGGAGCAAGAUAGAUAUAUAGUCUUAGAGUCAAGUUAGCUCAGUCACUAUCAAAACAGGUUUCUAUUUUAUAGAUGGUGAUGUGAUUGGAUCAUUGAUGUUAGCUACUACAACAAUUCAAAAACUGUUGGAGAUUAAGAAAACACGUUUACCAUCCAAAUCAGUCUAUAUCUAGGACAUUUGCAUUAACACCCAUCCACAUUAGACUCUUGAUUGUAUGGACACUAUACAGAGAUUUUUUAGUAUGUUCCUGCUUGUGCUUGAUAACACCCGUUUCUGCAUCAAUAGCUACUUCUGACUAAUUCUCCUCCGCGUCUACCUUAUCCUCUGAAUAUUUCAUAUCGUCUUUUUGAUAAUGUCAGUGAAAAUUGUCUAAUUCUCGCCAAAUAGGUUUUCAUUGUUUUUUCCGCAGGUUGGAAAGCACAACAUCAUAGCCCGAGCUUUUAAAGUUAAUAAUCCUCAAAGCUGGUGUUUCUUUGGCUGUAUAUUUAGCUGGUUUCAUCUAUGCCUUGGUCCUGGUCAAUAAAGGCCUAUCUAAAUCAGAUUGACACCAACACAGUCCACAGUCCAAUGCUCUUUUAAUCUUUCAGAAAAAAGCUGGUGCUACACGUGGAAGAAUCGGUAAACCUGAAUGUUUUGAAAUCAUCUACUCCAAGCAAUACUCAAACCGUUAAAGAUACCCCAUCAUUCAGCAUUAAUAUCUAAGCAGGGGUGAAGGUUUUGCUGCAAAAGCAACACAAGAAUCACCUCCAUCAUCAACUUAUUUUGAGGUGCACAACACCAUUAACUAUGUCAUUUUAGAAAUUGUUGUUGGAAAGAUAUGUUUGUAAAUAGGAUUGUGAUACUUGAAAAUGCAAGUCAAAGUUCUGUAACACUUAUUUUGGAUCGUGGUAGACUUGUCCUGCUAGAGGUACCGAGUUGUGAGAUUAGGUGUGAUGCACAUAUCCUUAUUAGCAUGAA